UCUGAGAAGCUAAAUUAGUGCGCAGCCAAAAAAUGUUUUGGUCACGUCCAUUUUCUAUUAAGAACCAUUGGCGACGACCUAAAAGGAAUGUCAGUGUAAAAUCGUUCAGUAGUGACUGCUCACAGUUAACAGAGUUCCUCACGAAGGUUUACCUUGUUGAAAGCACGGCGGCGAACAGUGGGAAAUGGUAGUGCGCAGCGAACAAAAAUGGCUGCUGACGAGGAAGACACCAAGACUAGAGAACAAUCAAUCGUCCUCCCCAGCGCUCGUCCCCACCCUCGUUUUAGGCCGCUGAGUUUGCGUUCGGGCCCAAGCACACACAAGAGAGGAGUGGACGCAGGCAGUUUCAUGAAGGAACCCUGCCACACUACACUGGUGUCAGAAUAGCAGAUGGAGCUUGAAGAGCUUUGAAGAGAUCGAAGAAUACAUCACCAAACGAGACACAAGACCAAGGACGCAAGCCGAGGACGCAAGACCAAGGACGCAAGACCAAGGACGCAAGCCGAGGACGCAAGACCAAGGACGCAAGACCAAGGACGCAAGCCGAGGACGCAAGACCAAGGAUGUAAGCCGGGGACCCGAGCAGUUUGCCGUCCCUGCAGUCACAGAUGUGCAGGGAGGAAACGCGAUGUUGGGCUCUCCGGGAACCGAGCGUCGCCUUCCCGGACUCCCCCGACGGAGCAGGCGGACCCAGGCUUCCGUACCAGGGGCACGCUGAGAUCGGCAACGCCCGGGAUCCAGCAGCCCAGAGGGAGCGGAGAGAAGCGCCGCCAGCUGACCCAGUGGCCCUGAGGCCGCUGAGCAGCAGAACGGAGGCAGGUGAGGCACUGGCACCGACACCUGGCGGAGUGCCACCGCGCUUUACCUGAGCAGAGCCGCUGGAGCCCUCCCGAUCCUCCUCCACCUCGGCCCCGCAGAGAUGCAGCUACCCAGCCCUCGAAUGGCGCUUCGGGCAGUGAGCCGAGGCCUUUUCCGGAGCGGACACGGGAUAAGCUGACCAGCCGGAGAGAGGGAGAAAGCCUGAGCUCAUUCGCGGCUGACAUCCGGUUUUACGUGCGGCGGGGCUGCCCUGAGUUCCAUGCUGCAGCCCCAGAACUGCUGGCUCUCCGCUCGUUCCUACAAGCCAUCACACUGGAGCAGCUAAAGCAGCGCGUUCAACUCAUCGUCUGCCAGACCCAACCAGCAGCGGCACCAUCAGCCAAGGUGCGCCAACCCCCAAGCACAACCAAGGGGACCGCCCAAUGAGGGGACCGCCCAAUGAGGGGACCGCCGCUCCAAGACUCCGCCCCCCUCCUCGGCCAAUCAGAGGGACUCUUAUCUCCACUGCCUACUCGACGGGCACCCCUGUCGAGCCCUAGUGGACACAGGUUCCACCAUCUCCAUCAUCCAGCCUGGCGUGCUCCAUCAUCCAGCACCAUGGGCACAGCUCUGCCUGGCUGGGCCUCCUCACGACCACCCUGAGAUGAGAGCGGCUCAAGCUGUUGUGCGUCAGGGUGGCAGCGAGCAAACCUGCUAUGACCUGCCGGCUAGCUAACAUCCAAGACCCUUGCAUCAUAGGGUUAUACCUGUUAGACCAGCAUCCAGCUACACCCUCACUGGCUCGCGCUAGCAGCUGGCAGAACAGAAGAUCCAAGAGAUGACGGCAGCAGGCGUCAUCGAGCCCUCUUAACAGCCCCUGGGCAGGCCUGGCCGUACCCGUGGCCAUGAAAGACGGUACCUGGCAUUUCUGUGUCGACUACCGAAGUCUCAAUGUCAAUGCCUUGUCCUAGCAAAAGUCUCUGAUGUAGACCCGGGGGGCGAAUAGUGGUGUUACAUCGGGACCAGCUAGCCCCCUACCGACCACUGAUGGAGACAGUGGCUCAGGAGGUUGAGACGUCCACCUCCCUGGUCAAGGGCCCGGGGACCCCUCCCGACUCACCCCUCAACGCAGACCUGGUGAGUGCAGCCUCCCCAUUCACCGGAGACUCUGUGGCCAUCGGGUACGACUGGCCCCUUGGAAGUUCAGGAGGACAAGCUGGCCCACCAGGGGUCUCCUGGUGUGCCUCAGCUCGCCAAGAUAGCCACUUCUGAGUUGGCAAACUAACAUUAUGAAAUGUGUAAGUGCUGUUGCCUAAAAUAACUGCUAGGAAAGGGGUUAGUUAACUAGCGAACAAUGUUAACACGUAAGAAAACCUGCAUGUGUGUUACCGUGUAAUGUUACCCUGCAUGGAGCCGCCAUUUAAAAUUUGUAUGUUUUGAAACCUCACCACUGAUCACGUGU
Long non-coding RNA from Conger conger (European conger), 2260 nucleotides. RefSeq lists it as uncharacterized. The record is from RefSeq and is a predicted model, not a curated record. NCBI's taxonomy places the organism in Eukaryota, Metazoa, Chordata, Actinopteri, Anguilliformes, Congridae. The transcript has 3 exons.